This 728-nucleotide ribosomal RNA is filed under the name uncultured bacterium. Its description in RNAcentral is "bacterial SSU rRNA". It matches the Rfam family "Bacterial small subunit ribosomal RNA", at positions 773 to 1501 of the family's 1533-position model. The record is from RNAcentral.
CAGGAUUAGAUACCCUGGUAGUCCACGCCGUAAACGAUGUCGACUUGGAGGUUGUGCCCUUGAGGCGUGGCUUCCGGAGCUAACGCGUUAAGUCGACCGCCUGGGGAGUACGGCCGCAAGGUUAAAACUCAAAUGAAUUGACGGGGGCCCGCACAAGCGGUGGAGCAUGUGGUUUAAUUCGAUGCAACGCGAAGAACCUUACCUGGUCUUGACAUCCACAGAACUUUCCAGAGAUGGAUUGGUGCCUUCGGGAACUGUGAGACAGGUGCUGCAUGGCUGUCGUCAGCUCGUGUUGUGAAAUGUUGGGUUAAGUCCCGCAACGAGCGCAACCCUUAUCCUUUGUUGCCAGCGGUCCGGCCGGGAACUCAAAGGAGACUGCCAGUGAUAAACUGGAGGAAGGUGGGGAUGACGUCAAGUCAUCAUGGCCCUUACGACCAGGGCUACACACGUGCUACAAUGGCGCAUACAAAGAGAAGCGACCUCGCGAGAGCAAGCGGACCUCAUAAAGUGCGUCGUAGUCCGGAUUGGAGUCUGCAACUCGACUCCAUGAAGUCGGAAUCGCUAGUAAUCGUGGAUCAGAAUGCCACGGUGAAUACGUUCCCGGGCCUUGUACACACCGCCCGUCACACCAUGGGAGUGGGUUGCAAAAGAAGUAGGUAGCUUAACCUUCGGGAGGGCGCUUACCACUUUGUGAUUCAUGACUGGGGUGAAGUCGUAACAAGGUGACC